UACAGAGGUCCCAAGCGUUGUUCGGAUUCACUGGGCGUAAAGGGUGCGUAGGCGGUCGGGUAAGUCUGAUGUGAAAUCUCACAGCUUAACUGCGAAACUGCAUUGGAUACUAUCCGGCUAGAGGAAUGGAGGGGAGACUGGAAUACUUGGUGUAGCAGUGAAAUGCGUAGAUAUCAAGUGGAACACCAGUGGCGAAGGCGAGUCUCUGGACAGUUCCUGACGCUGAGGCACGAAGGCCAGGGGAGCAAACGGG
Molecule: ribosomal RNA, 253 nt
Filed under: uncultured bacterium
Lineage: Bacteria
Description: partial 16S ribosomal RNA
Rfam family: Bacterial small subunit ribosomal RNA
Source: RNAcentral